RNAcentral lists this ribosomal RNA (489 nucleotides) under uncultured bacterium. RNAcentral's name for it is "bacterial SSU rRNA". It matches the Rfam family "Bacterial small subunit ribosomal RNA", at positions 58 to 521 of the family's 1533-position model. The record is from RNAcentral.
CAAGUCGUACGAGAAAUCCUGGGCAACUGGGAGAGUAAAGUGGCGCACGGGUGAGUAACGCGUGGGUAACCUGCCCUUGAAUUGGGGAUAACUCCUCGAAAGGGGAGUUAAUACCGAAUAAUAUUCCAAUUCCUACGGGAGCUGGAAUCAAAGGUGGCCUCUGCAUGCAAGCUAUCGUUUAAGGAUGGGCCCGCGUACCAUUAGCUCGUUGGUAGGGUAAUGGCCUACCAAGGCAACGAUGGUUAGCUGGUCUGAGAGGAUGGCCAGCCACACUGGAACUGAGACACGGUCCAGACUCCUACGGGAGGCAGCAGUGGGGAAUCUUGCGCAAUGGGGGAAACCUUGACGCAGCAACGCCGCGUGGGUGAUGAAGGCCUUCGGGUCGUAAAGCCCUGUCAGGUGGGAAGAAACUUGUGGAUGUUAAUACCAUCCACACUUGACGGUACCACCGGAGGAAGCACCGGCUAACUCCGUGCCAGCAGCCGCGGU